This 301-nucleotide ribosomal RNA is filed under the name uncultured bacterium. RNAcentral's name for it is "partial 16S ribosomal RNA". It matches the Rfam family "Bacterial small subunit ribosomal RNA", at positions 509 to 807 of the family's 1533-position model. The record is from RNAcentral.
CAGCCGCCACGGGAAUACGGAGGGUGCAAGCGUUAAUCGGAUUUACUGGGCGUAAAGCGUGCGUAGGCGGCUUCUUAAGUCGGAUGUGAAAUCCCUGAGCUUAACUUAGGAAUUGCAUUCGAUACUGGGAAGCUAGAGUAUGGGAGAGGAUGGUAGAAUUCCAGGUGUAGCGGUGAAAUGCGUAGAGAUCUGGAGGAAUACCGAUGGCGAAGGCAGCCAUCUGGCCUAAUACUGACGCUGAGGUACGAAAGCAUGGGGAGCAAACAGGAUUAGAUACCCCCGUAGUCCCUGUCUCUUAUAC